This 446-nucleotide long non-coding RNA is filed under the name Androctonus crassicauda. The record is from RNAcentral. Lineage: Eukaryota; Metazoa; Arthropoda; Arachnida; Scorpiones; Buthidae.
UGUUGAUAGUUGAGUGACGGGAAAAAGUUGUAGUAAUGCGAAGUUUUAAAUCAUAGGCAAUAAAUUGAAUUGUGAUGAAUAAAACAAAAGAAAUGUACGGAGUUAAAAAAGAAUGCUUUAUAUCCGAAGUAAAUUUGUUUUCUCAACAAAUAUCAGAAGAUAAUGAUAAAGUAAAAGCGACAGAAGAAUUGUCACUGUUAUUAUUUAAAAUUUUUGGAGACAUGUAUCGUGAGGUUAAUUAUCUCGAAAAACUACAGUACAUAUUAAAAAGGCAGAAACGUGUUAAAGAUAAAGAAGAAUUCUGUAAAGCAUUUGUUAAAAAUUGUAUUUCAACAAAAAGUAACGAACAGUUUUAAGUCAAGAUUGAAGUACUGUAAUUGAAAUAAUUUGGUUCUGUAAAUUUUUAUCAAAAUUUAGAAGAAAAUAUAUAGAAAAUUAGUUGCAAG